GACGAACGCUGGCGGCGUGCCUAAUACAUGCAAGUUGAGCGCUGAAGGUUGGUACUUGUACCAACUGGAUGAGCAGCGAACGGGUGAGUAACGCGUGGGGAAUCUGCCUUUGAGCGGGGGACAACAUUUGGAAACGAAUGCUAAUACCGCAUAAAAACUUUAAACACAAGUUUUAAGUUUGAAAGAUGCAAUUGCAUCACUCAAAGAUGAUCCCGCGUUGUAUUAGCUAGUUGGUGAGGUAAAGGCUCACCAAGGCGAUGAUACAUAGCCGACCUGAGAGGGUGAUCGGCCACAUUGGGACUGGGACAAGGCCCAAACUCCUACGGGAGGCAGCAGUAGGGAAUCUUCGGCAAGGGACGAAAGUCUGACCGAGCAACGCCGCGUGAGUGAAGAAGGUUUUCGGAUCGUAAAACUCUGUUGGUAGAGAAGAACGUUGGUGAGAGUGGAAAGCUCAUCAAGUGACGGUAACUACUCAGAAAGGGACGGCUAACUACGUG
Molecule: ribosomal RNA, 497 nt
Filed under: uncultured bacterium
Lineage: Bacteria
Description: partial 16S ribosomal RNA
Rfam family: Bacterial small subunit ribosomal RNA
Source: RNAcentral